UCUUCGUCAGAGAGUUGGGGCACUGGA
RNAcentral lists this small RNA (27 nucleotides) under Bombyx mori (domestic silkworm). Its description in RNAcentral is "ovarian small RNA-30141". The record is from RNAcentral. Lineage: Eukaryota; Metazoa; Arthropoda; Insecta; Lepidoptera; Bombycidae.